Molecule: ribosomal RNA, 253 nt
Filed under: uncultured bacterium
Lineage: Bacteria
Description: partial 16S ribosomal RNA
Rfam family: Bacterial small subunit ribosomal RNA
Source: RNAcentral
UCCGGAGGGGGCUAUCGUUGAUCGGAAUUACUGGGCGUAAAGCGCACGUAGGCGGCUUUUCAAGUCAGAGGUGAAAGACCGGGGCUCAACUCCGGAAUUGCCUUUGAAACUGGAUGGCUGGAACACGGGAGAGGUGAGUGGAAUUCCGAGUGGAGAGGUGAAAUUCGUAGAUAUUCGGAGGAACACCAGUGGCGAAGGCGGCUCACUGGACCGUUGUUGACGCUGAGGUGCGAAAGCGUGGGGAGCAAACAGG